Molecule: long non-coding RNA, 1196 nt
Organism: Cynocephalus volans (Philippine flying lemur)
Lineage: Eukaryota; Metazoa; Chordata; Mammalia; Dermoptera; Cynocephalidae
Exons: 2
Source: RefSeq, a predicted model, not a curated record
GGACACACAAACCCGGCUACCAGGACACACAAACCUGGCUGGCAUUGCAGUUUGAGUCCUGAUGAGCUGUGCAACCUUGAGAAAGGCUGACAAGGAUACCUGAGGAAUCCACAAGAGGAGUCAGAAUCCAGAAGCACAGAAGCCUAACUACUCCAGCCAACACACACCCAGCUGAUGAGUGAGCUGUCCUGGGUGGUGUCUGUGUCAGCUGCAGGGGGUUUCUACGAUCUACUUCUACUCUCUCCUUACAAACACACCUGAAGUCCUGGUCUGUGAGAACACACUUCUAUCUUUUCUUUGGGACUGCUACCUACAAGGGGACUUCAGGGACUUCUUGCUCCCUCAAAUAACCAAAUGGAUGGAAGGGGAAGAUUAAUCAUCCUCACCAUGUUCUUUUUCAAUCAGGAAAAGGCUACAAACCUAAAAACUCUGCCAAGUGAAUGGACUAAGGACUCACGGCUAUUACCCAUUUUGCUCCCUAUCCUAAUUCCCCUUGUAAUAAGUUCCCUUCCACUAUCCAUGGGACCUAUAGUUCUACAACAAUUCUCCUAGUUCCUCUACACGACCAUCCAGUGACUCAUGAGUGGGUAACUGAAAUUCUGAUGAUGAGAGACGCCUGUUAUCAUCUCCAGCCUCAAGGACCACAGUGACAAGGAAACCCCUCAGGUCAUUAGCCUCUCAUCACCCCUUUGUCAGCAGGAGGACAUUAAAGAAGAUGGACCUUCAUCUAUAUACCCAGUCUGCGGGUCUCCCUAAUAACAGUCAACUCACAUCCUUUCUUUUUUACCAAACAUGGAAGGGAGGAAUAUUGGGUCUGGGGAGGACUACUUAAGAUGGCGCCACUCAAAGAUACUCAAAAUGGUGGCGCCUGCCCUGCGGGACUUUCCCAUAAAGUAAAAAGAUAAACUCAUAACAGCAACAGAUCUCCAUGCCAUUGGUCCCCUCUGAAACCCUUCUUUACAUACUAAGAGAACCAAUAAUUGCAAACCUAAAAACCACCUGGUUAACGUAAGGCGUCAACAACUGCCAGUGGACUUUUCAUUUAAUUCCUCAUCAAUAUAAGCUAUGGCCAAUCAAAACAACACAGCUCACCACAAGAAGAGACAUAAGCCCAACCCCUGGGGGAGAGGUCAGGCUACGUUCUGUACCUAUGUCUCUGCCAUACCACCUGUGCCAAUAAACUCCUUCUAGCCUGA